GGCCUUGACAUACUAAGAACUUUCCAGAGAUGGAUUGGUGCCUUCGGGAACUUAGAUACAGGUGCUGCAUGGCUGUCGUCAGCUCGUGUCGUGAGAUGUUGGGUUAAGUCCGCAACGAGCGCAACCCUUUUCCUUAUUUGCCAGCGGGUCAUGCCGGGAACUUUAAGGAUACUGCCAGUGACAAACUGGAGGAAGGCGGGGACGACGUCAAGUCAUCAUGGCCCUUACGGCCAGGGCUACACACGUGCUACAAUGGUCGGUACAAAGGGUUGCUACCUCGCGAGAGGAUGCUAAUCUCAAAAAGCCGACCGUAGUCCGGAUCGCAGUCUGCAACUCGACUGCGUGAAGUCGGAAUCGCUAGUAAUCGCGGAUCAGAAUGCCGCGGUGAAUACGUUCCCGGGCCUUGUACACACCGCCCGUCACACCAUGGGAGUUUGUUGCACCAGAAGUAGGUAGUCUAACCGCAAGGAGGACGCUUACCACGGUGUGGCCGAUGACUGGGGUGAAGUCGUAACAAGGUAGGCGUAGAUGA
RNAcentral lists this ribosomal RNA (532 nucleotides) under uncultured bacterium. RNAcentral describes it as "bacterial SSU rRNA". It matches the Rfam family "Bacterial small subunit ribosomal RNA", at positions 977 to 1509 of the family's 1533-position model. The record is from RNAcentral.